Molecule: unclassified non-coding RNA, 233 nt
Filed under: Hevea brasiliensis (rubber tree)
Lineage: Eukaryota; Viridiplantae; Streptophyta; Magnoliopsida; Malpighiales; Euphorbiaceae
Source: RNAcentral
UCGUUCAGAUGUUAGCUGAGGGAUAGUCAAUCUUAUAACUUCCCCAUCAUUAUUUGGUGUUAGGCCAACAUCAGAACUGACAAUUGCCUUCUCAAUACCUUUCAAACUCGACUUGUCAUAUGGCUGCACAAGAAGAGAACUUCCAUCUGGAGUGCUUAUCUGUGCAAUGCUCUUCAAGCUGACUGGACUGCCAUAGUAGUCAACCUCAACUCGGUCAAGCAUGGAAGGAUUUG